CCUACGGGAGGCAGCAGUGAGGAAUAUUGGUCAAUGGGCGGAAGCCUGAACCAGCCAAGUAGCGUGCAGGAUGAAGGCCCUACGGGUCGUAAACUGCUUUUACAUGGGAAUAAAACGUUCCACGUGUGGGGGUUUGCAGGUACCGUACGAAUAAGGACCGGCUAAUUCCGUGCCAGCAGCCGCGGUAAUACGGAGGAGCCGAGCGUUAUCCGGAUUUAUUGGGUUUAAAGGGAGCGUAGGCGGGCGGUUAAGUCAGCUGUGAAAGUCGCCGGCUCAACCGUCGAACUGCAGUUGAAACUGGCCGCCUUGAGUACAGAAGAGGCUGGCGGAAUUCGUGGUGUAGCGGUGAAAUGCAUAGAUAUCACGAGGAACCCCGAUUGUGAAGGCAGUCUGCCGGACUGCAACUGACGCUGAGGCUCGAAGGUGUGGGUAUCAAACAGGAUUAGAUACCCUUGUAGUC
RNAcentral lists this ribosomal RNA (460 nucleotides) under uncultured bacterium. RNAcentral's name for it is "partial 16S ribosomal RNA". It matches the Rfam family "Bacterial small subunit ribosomal RNA", at positions 338 to 795 of the family's 1533-position model. The record is from RNAcentral.